RNAcentral lists this ribosomal RNA (113 nucleotides) under Propithecus coquereli (Coquerel's sifaka). Lineage: Eukaryota; Metazoa; Chordata; Mammalia; Primates; Indriidae. The record is from RNAcentral.
GUCUACAGCCAUACCACCCUGAACGCGCCCAAUCUCGUCUGAUCUCGGAUGCUAAGCAGGGUUGGGCCUGGUUAGUACAUGGAUGGGAGAUUCUGGAAUUCCAUCUGUGGGCC